Molecule: ribosomal RNA, 491 nt
Filed under: uncultured bacterium
Lineage: Bacteria
Description: partial 16S ribosomal RNA
Rfam family: Bacterial small subunit ribosomal RNA
Source: RNAcentral
GUGAACGCUGGCGGUAGGCCUAACCCAUGCAAGUCGAACGGCAGCACAGUAAGAGCUUGCUCUUACGGGUGGCGAGUGGCGGACGGGUGAGGAAUACAUCGGAAUCUACUUUUUCGUGGGGGAUAACGUAGGGAAACUUACGCUAAUACCGCAUACGACCUACGGGUGAAAGCAGGGGAUCUUCGGACCUUGCGCGAUUGAAUGAGCCGAUGUCGGAUUAGCUAGUUGGCGGGGUAAAGGCCCACCAAGGCGACGAUCCGUAGCUGGUCUGAGAGGAUGAUCAGCCACACUGGAACUGAGACACGGUCCAGACUCCUACGGGAGGCAGCAGUGGGGAAUAUUGGACAAAGGGCGCAAGCCUGAUCCAGCCAUACCGCGUGGGUGAAGAAGGCCUUCGGGUUGUAAAGCCCUUUUGUUGGGAAAGAAAAGCAGCAGGUUAAUACCCCGCUGUUCUGACGGUACCCAAAGAAUAAGCACCGGCUAACUUCGUG